This 432-nucleotide ribosomal RNA is filed under the name uncultured bacterium. RNAcentral's name for it is "bacterial SSU rRNA". It matches the Rfam family "Bacterial small subunit ribosomal RNA", at positions 30 to 460 of the family's 1533-position model. The record is from RNAcentral.
AUUGAACGCUGGCGGCAUGCCUUACACAUGCAAGUCGAACGGCAGCACGGGGGCAACCCUGGUGGCGAGUGGCGAACGGGUGAGUAAUAUAUCGGAACGUACCCUGGAGUGGGGGAUAACGUAGCGAAAGUUACGCUAAUACCGCAUACGAUCUAAGGAUGAAAGUGGGGGAUCGCAAGACCUCAUGCUCCUGGAGCGGCCGAUAUCUGAUUAGCUAGUUGGUGGGGUAAAGGCCUACCAAGGCAUCGAUCAGUAGCUGGUCUGAGAGGACGACCAGCCACACUGGGACUGAGACACGGCCCAGACUCCUACGGGAGGCAGCAGUGGGGAAUUUUGCACAAUGGGGGGCAACCCUGAUCCAGCAAUGCCGCGUGAGUGAAGAAGGCCUUCGGGUUGUAAGACGUCCUUUUGUUCUAGGGAAGGAAACGGUUA